CCUACGGGAGGCAGCAGUGAGGAAUAUUGGUCAAUGGUCGUAAGACUGAACCAGCCAAGUCGCGUGCAGGAUGACGGCCCUAUGGGUUGUAAACUGCUUUUAUGCGGGGAUAAAAUGCGUCACGUGUGAUUUUUUGUAGGUACCGCAUGAAUAAGGACCGGCUAAUUCCGUGCCAGCAGCCGCGGUAAUACGGAAGGUCCGGGCGUUAUCCGGAUUUAUUGGGUGUAAAGGGAGCGUAGGCCGCAUGUUAAGCCUGCCGUGAAAUGCCGUGGCUCAACCAUGGCACUGCGGGGGGAACUGGAUUGCUUGAGUGCGCGGAAGGUAUGCGGAAUGCGUGGUGUAGCGGUGAAAUGCUUAGAUAUCACGAAGAACUCCGAUUGCGAAGGCAGCAUACGGAGGCGCAACUGACGCUGAAGCUCGAAGGCGCGGGUAUCGAACAGGAUUAGAUACCCCGGUAGUC
Molecule: ribosomal RNA, 460 nt
Filed under: uncultured bacterium
Lineage: Bacteria
Description: partial 16S ribosomal RNA
Rfam family: Bacterial small subunit ribosomal RNA
Source: RNAcentral